RNAcentral lists this ribosomal RNA (406 nucleotides) under uncultured bacterium. RNAcentral's name for it is "partial 16S ribosomal RNA". It matches the Rfam family "Bacterial small subunit ribosomal RNA", at positions 30 to 526 of the family's 1533-position model. The record is from RNAcentral.
AUUGAACGCUGGCGGCAGGCUUAACACAUGCAAGUCGAACGAGUGGCGGAAGGGUGAGUAAUGUCUGGGAAACUGCCUGAUGGAGGGGGAUAACUACUGGAAACGGUAGCUACUACCGCAUACCAUCGGAUGUGCCCAGAUGGGAUGAGCUAGUAGGGGGGGUAAAGGCUCACCUAGGUGACGAUCCCUAGCUGGUCUGAGAGGAUGACCAGCCACACUGGAACUGAGACACGGUCCAGACUCCUACGGGAGGCAGCAGUGGGGAAUAUUGCACAAUGGGCGCAAGCCUGAUGCAGCCAUGCCGCGUGUAUGAAGAAGGCCUUCGGGUUGUAAAGUACUUUCAGCGAGGAGGCGUUACUCGCAGAAGAAGCACCGGCUAACUCCGUGCCAGCAGCCGCGGUAAUAC